RNAcentral lists this ribosomal RNA (474 nucleotides) under uncultured bacterium. RNAcentral's name for it is "bacterial SSU rRNA". It matches the Rfam family "Bacterial small subunit ribosomal RNA", at positions 40 to 507 of the family's 1533-position model. The record is from RNAcentral.
CGGCGUGCCUAACACAUGCAAGUCGAACGGUAACUUUUUUAAAAGUAUUUCUUCGGAAUGUAAUUUGAUUAAGUUUAGUGGCGGACGGGUGAGUAACGCGUGAGUAACCUGCCUCUAAGAGGGGAAUAACAUUCUGAAAAGAAUGCUAAUACCGCAUAACAUAUAUUUAUCGCAUGGUAGAUAUAUCAAAGAUUUAUCGCUUAGAGACGGACUCGCGUCCGAUUAGUUAGUUGGUGAGGGUAACGGCUCACCAAGACCGCGAUCGGUAGCCGGACUGAGAGGUUGAACGGCCACAUUGGGACUGAGACACGGCCCAGACUCCUACGGGAGGCAGCAGUGGGGGAUAUUGCGCAAUGGGGGAAACCCUGACGCAGCAACGCCGCGUGAAGGAUGAAGGUCUUCGGAUUGUAAACUUCUUUAUUAAGGACGAAGAAAGUGACGGUACUUAAUGAAUAAGCUCCGGCUAACUACGUG